RNAcentral lists this ribosomal RNA (477 nucleotides) under uncultured organism. Its description in RNAcentral is "partial 16S ribosomal RNA". It matches the Rfam family "Bacterial small subunit ribosomal RNA", at positions 332 to 800 of the family's 1533-position model. The record is from RNAcentral.
UACACUCCUGCGGGAGGCAGCAGUGGGGAAUAUUGCACAAUGGGCGCAAGCCUGAUGCAGCCAUGCCGCGUGUAUGAAGAAGGCCUUCGGGUUGUAAAGUACUUUCAGCGGGGAGGAAGGCAAUACGGUUAAUAACCGUGUUGAUUGACGUUACCCGCAGAAGAAGCACCGGCUAACUCCGUGCCAGCAGCCGCGGUAAUACGGAGGGUGCAAGCGUUAAUCGGAAUUACUGGGCGUAAAGCGCACGCAGGCGGUCUGUCAAGUCGGAUGUGAAAUCCCCGGGCUCAACCUGGGAACUGCAUUCGAAACUGGCAGGCUUGAGUCUUGUAGAGGGGGGUAGAAUUCCAGGUGUAGCGGUGAAAUGCGUAGAGAUCUGGAGGAAUACCGGUGGCGAAGGCGGCCCCCUGGACAAAGACUGACGCUCAGGUGCGAAAGCGUGGGGAGCAAACAGGAUUAGAAACCCGAGUAGUCCCAUGA